AGGUAAUAGAUACCCUGGUAGUCCACGCUGUAAACGAUGGAUACUAGGUGUAGGGGGCGUAGCCCUCUGUGCCGCAGUUAAACACAUUAAGUAUCCCGCCUGGGGAGUACGAUCGCAAGAUUAAAACUCAAAGGAAUUGACGGGGGCCCGCACAAGCAGCGGAGCAUGUGGUUUAAUUCGACGCAACGCGAAGAACCUUACCAAGGCUUGACAUCUGUAGAAUUCGGUAGAAAUACUGAAGUGCCCUUUCGGGGAACUGCAAGCAGGUGUGCAUGGUUGUCGUCAGCUCGUGUCGUGAGAUGUUAGGUUAAGUCCUGUAACCGAGCGNAA
Molecule: ribosomal RNA, 330 nt
Filed under: uncultured bacterium
Lineage: Bacteria
Description: bacterial SSU rRNA
Rfam family: Bacterial small subunit ribosomal RNA
Source: RNAcentral